GUGGAUAUCCUCCCCUCUAAACCUAUCCACGUCAGUUAAUAUAUUCAGCCAAUCAGAGAGCAUUAUUAUGCUACGUCAUACGAAGUUUUAAGUCAACUAAUAUAAAAUCGGGCCAGGCGUUUGGGCCAUUAAUAAUAUCCAGUGCCAAUAUGAAGCCCACCUCAUCAAUACCAAAUCUCCAAUGAAAGUUAUUAAUUUAUUAUCGUGGCUGACUCUUCUUCUUCUUAGCUGUGUGAACGCUCACGGUCUAACUCCUCCUCUCAAUUGAUGAUUUUGAGAAACGUCUGCAAUUAUGACAUUCAAGGAGAGGGAUCGCCGUCGAUAGUAUCAACGGUGGAGAGAACGAAGACGAACCGGAGAAGAAAAGUGAAGAAGAGCAGAGAUUAAAACAUCAUCUGAUACGAGAAUCUUCUAGAACCCUACCUUCUUUUUUAUGAACUCUCUCAAUCCUUUCCCCGUGACUACCGUCACAUGUCUUAAGCUCGGAGAUAUAUGCAGCUGCAUCUCUCUGUUUAUGUCUUUGUUUUCCUCUUUCUUCUCUUAUCUGAAUGUGGGUUUCUUUGAAAGGAGAUGGAUGUCCGAAGAGGAAAUAUUGAUCUUACGUUGUUAUGUAUUGUUUGAUUAUUCAAAAGGGUCUAUGUCAUUCACCUAACCUUGCUUUGUGUUUAGGUUACUAAUGGCAGAUCGUAUCUGAUUUCCUGUUGUUCAUUUUGUCUCAGGUGAUUUGGCAAGGAAGAGCCCAAGAUUCACGGUUAACAGAUGAGAGCUAAGAAACAGAGGAUGUCGACCAUUGACACCAGAAGAGAUUGAUUCAUUCCUUUUACCUCCAGGGUCUUGAAGAAAACAACACGGGCUGAAGCAUUAAGCAUAGAAACAAGGGGUUAUUGUUUAUUUCUUCAACUCUAUGACUAUGUUCUUUACUGAACGAUAUUGGAUUCAAAAGGUCUGACUUUUCUUAAAAAAUGUAUCUUCGCGUACAGGGACCUGUGUGUUUGUACAUGCUGAGCAUUCUAUUGACUCGCCACUUGCUAGGGUAAUCUGUAUAAAUACAGAAAAUAUACUUCUAUCACAGCCUAAUUGGCGCGAACAAGCCCUUAGUCGUGCGGAUACUUCAAUCCGAAGUGGUUCGGUUGAUGUUAUUGUUGCUGACAGUGUAAUUUAGGAGCACUUGAGUAUAAGAUGGGUGAUGCUCAUAUGAUUAUCCAAGCCGCUACGUGUCUUGAACUUCAAAGCAUGGUAGUAUUGAAAAGAAAAGGCUCGCCAAGGUAAUAAAGAAAACAGUAAAAACUCGAGGAAGAGACGUCACUAACCAAUCUCAGAGUCAGUACGUUAGAGCAGAUACCAGAUUAUGAAAGAGUGUUUUGUGGAGAAGAUAGCUGGAGUCAUUGUAGAAUUUGUAAUCAGCGGAUGAUAACACAUCGUGGUCUGGUUUAAAAGAAGCUAAAUGAGAAACUAUCUAUACCAAAGGCGUGGAGAUUCUGCAGAUGAGGAGAGUAAGAGGAACUCUGCAAGUGAUGGGCCAGCGAAAGCUAAGCGCCCAAGAUGUGAGAAGUAGAGCUCCCAUUCAUCUUCUCACUUAUUGCAUGCUUCAAUGAUGUUUAAGUCUUUUUUCAGUUUAAGUAUUGACUUAUGAUUUCCUUUCAGUUUUUUUGCUUUUCAGUGUUUUUUUUCCUUGAAACAUUUUAUCUACUUUGCAUGAUUAGCAGCUAAAAAUCAUGUUUACUGUUUUAUCACUCUGCUUCAUCAGAAUUACAUUGCUCAGUUUAUUAUUUAUGUCUUCAGAAACAGGUUCUAUUGUA
Long non-coding RNA from Brassica napus (rape), 1799 nucleotides. RefSeq lists it as uncharacterized. The record is from RefSeq and is a predicted model, not a curated record. NCBI's taxonomy places the organism in Eukaryota, Viridiplantae, Streptophyta, Magnoliopsida, Brassicales, Brassicaceae. The transcript has 6 exons.